CUACGUGCCAGCAGCCGCGGUAAUACGGAGGAUGCGAGCGUUAUCCGGAUUUAUUGGGUUUAAAGGGUGCGUAGGUUGUUCGGUAAGUCAGCGGUGAAACCUGAGCGCUCAACGUUCAGCCUGCCGUUGAAACUGCCGGGCUUGAGUUCAGUGGCGGCAGGCGGAAUUCGUGGUGUAGCGGUGAAAUGCAUAGAUAUCACGAGGAACUCCGAUUGCGAAGGCAGCUUGCCAUACUGCGACUGACACUGAAGCACGAAGGCGUGGGUAUCAAACAGGAUUAGAUACCCUGGUAGUCCGCACAGUAAACGAUGGAUGCCCGCUGUUGGUACCUGGUAUCAGCGGCUAAGCGAAAGCAUUAAGCAUCCCACCUGGGGAGUACGCCGGCAACGGUGAAACUCAAAGGAAUUGACGGGGGCCCGCACAAGCGGAGGAACAUGUGGUUUAAUUCGAUGAUACGCGAGGAACCUUACCCGGGCU
RNAcentral lists this ribosomal RNA (477 nucleotides) under uncultured bacterium. Its description in RNAcentral is "bacterial SSU rRNA". It matches the Rfam family "Bacterial small subunit ribosomal RNA", at positions 501 to 981 of the family's 1533-position model. The record is from RNAcentral.